AUGUCGGAUCAGAUGGAUUCCGGCAUAAAGCUCUUCGGGCGGGUGAUCCCGUUGGUUCCUGACGCUGCGCCCGGGCCGCCGGAAGCGGAGGCGACGGCCGGCUCCGAACACCCACCGCCGCCGCCGCCGGCGUCGGAGGCCGAGCCAGAGGCUGAUAAUAAUAAGGAACAACACAAAGAAAUGGAAGACAAAGGUGAUAGCGAAAUGAAGGUGGAUGCGCCAGAAGAGAAAGAAGAUAGUGCAACGAAGGGUGAUGAACCAAGAGAGAGAAAAGACAACGAAAUGGAGGUUGAUGCACCACAAGCCAAAGAAAAAGCAGAAACAGCCAGUUCGUCUACCUUGGACCACAAGAAAGAUGACCAGGCCCAGAUAAGCAAUACUGAAGAGAAAGCAGCGUCAGACCCUAAGGAGGGGAAUGAGAAGAAAUCAAAUGACGAAUCAGGCCAGGAUAAGGUGCUCAAGAAGCCAGAUAAGAUUAUACCUUGCCCUCGGUGCAACAGCAUGGAUACAAAGUUCUGUUAUUACAACAACUACAAUGUUAAUCAGCCUAGGCACUUCUGUAAGAAUUGCCAAAGGUAUUGGACUGCAGGGGGGAGUAUGAGGAAUGUACCUGUUGGUGCUGGGAGGCGCAAAAGCAAGAAUUCAGCGCUGCACUACCGUCAGUUGUUGAUGGCCCCUGAUUGUCUACUGGGGUCUAGAGUAGACAUCUCUAACACAGUGAACCCAGAAGUCCUUGCAUCUCUACCUUCCAUCCCGACACAAUCAGCCAGUAGAAGUGAAACAGUUCUCAAGUUUGGGCCUGAGGUGCCACUUUGUGAAUCGAUGGUAUCGGUGCUGAACAUUGAAGAGCAGAAUGUGACCAAUGCUGGAUCUGUACCAAGAGAUGAAACCAGGGAAGAUAACUCGUGCGCAUCGUCUACCACAUCAAACAAUGGGUUACCUGCAAACGCAGUCCUGCCUGGUCAGAACGGAGCGCCUGCUUACUGUAAUGGGGUUGGUCCGGUGCCUCAGUAUUACCUUGGAGCUCCUUUCAUGUACCCAUGGAGCAUGGGGUGGAACAACCUUCCUGUAAUGGUGCCGGGUGGAAGUAUGCCAGAAUCUGCUUCUCCAUCAGAAAGCUGUAGCACAAGUUCGGCGCCAUGGAUGAACUCUCCCAUGAUGCCAGGCUCAAGACUUCCCGCACCCCCAUUUCCAUAUCCUCUUGUUCCGCCUGCCCUCUGGGGUUGCUUACCAAGCUGGCCAGCCGCGGCAUGGAACACACCAUGGGUCGGGACCAACGGGUGCAUAUCGCCGUCUGGGUCAAGCAACAGCAGCUGUUCAGGCAAUGGGUCUCCUACUCUGGGGAAGCAUUCCAGGGACCCCAAUCCACAGAAAGAUGACAAGGAAGAGAAAUCACUGUGGGUUCCCAAGACGCUCCGCAUCGAUGACCCCGACGAGGCAGCGAAGAGUUCCAUAUGGGCAACUCUUGGCAUCAAACCUGGAGACCCUGGCGUCUUCAAGCCUUUCCAGUUCAAGGGUGAGAGCAAGGGCCAGCCAGCAGAUGCACGCCCUGCCCGUGCUUUACAGGCGAACCCCGCAGCGUUUUCUCGGUUGCAGUCAUUCCAGGAGAGCUCUUAA
This 1617-nucleotide ribosomal RNA is filed under the name Triticum aestivum (bread wheat). RNAcentral describes it as "partial small subunit ribosomal RNA". Lineage: Eukaryota; Viridiplantae; Streptophyta; Magnoliopsida; Poales; Poaceae. The record is from RNAcentral.